This 465-nucleotide ribosomal RNA is filed under the name uncultured bacterium. RNAcentral's name for it is "partial 16S ribosomal RNA". It matches the Rfam family "Bacterial small subunit ribosomal RNA", at positions 28 to 507 of the family's 1533-position model. The record is from RNAcentral.
GACGAACGCUGGCGGCGUGCUUAACACAUGCAAGUCGAACGGAAAGGCCCUGCUUGCAGGGUACUCGAGUGGCGAACGGGUGAGUAACACGUGGGUGAUCUGCCCUGCACUUCGGGAUAGGCCUGGGAAACUGGGUCUAAUACCGGAUAGGAGCCAUUUUUAGUGUGAUGGUUGGAAAGUUUUUUCGGUGUAGGAUGAGCUCGCGGCCUAUCAGCUUGUUGGUGGGGUAAUGGCCUACCAAGGCGGCGACGGGUAGCCGGCCUGAGAGGGUGGACGGCCACAUUGGGACUGAGAUACGGCCCAGACUCCUACGGGAGGCAGCAGUGGGGAAUAUUGCACAAUGGGCGCAAGCCUGAUGCAGCGACGCCGCGUGGGGGAUGACGGCCUUCGGGUUGUAAACUCCUUUCGCUAGGGACGAAGCUUUUUGUGACGGUGCCUAGAUAAGAAGCACCGGCUAACUACGUG